This 345-nucleotide unclassified non-coding RNA is filed under the name Xenorhabdus sp. OR1. RNAcentral's name for it is "16S-23S ribosomal RNA intergenic spacer". The stretch from base 84 to 156 matches the Rfam family "tRNA". Lineage: Bacteria; Pseudomonadati; Pseudomonadota; Gammaproteobacteria; Enterobacterales; Morganellaceae. The record is from RNAcentral.
CCUGAAUGAUAGUGAUUGUGCAGUGUCCACACAGAUUGUCUGAUAAAAGAAAAUGAGCAGGAAUGCCCGCGAAGAAGACUUGAGUCCCCUUCGUCUAGAGGCCUAGGACACCGCCCUUUCACGGCGGUAACAGGGGUUCGAAUCCCCUAGGGGACGCCAUCCUGUUCAGGCACUGUGUGAAGGGCAGGGUCAACGAAUUAUUGGUAAGCGGACUGCGAAGUCGGUUUACCAAUAACGCUCUUUAACAAUCUGGAACAAGCUGAAAAUUUGAAACAAUCAGUGCUGUCAAUGACAGGACUGAUGAGUCUCUCAAAACGCACACCCGAAGACACCUUCGGGUUGUGA